Molecule: ribosomal RNA, 387 nt
Filed under: uncultured bacterium
Lineage: Bacteria
Description: bacterial SSU rRNA
Rfam family: Bacterial small subunit ribosomal RNA
Source: RNAcentral
AUUGAACGCUGGCGGCAUGCCUUACACAUGCAAGUCGAGCGGCAGCGCGGGGGCAACCCUGGCGGCGAGCGGCGGACGGGUGAGUAAUACAUCGGAACGUGUCCUUUCGUGGGGGAUAACCAGUCGAAAGACUGGCUAAUACCGCAUGAGAUCUCACGAUGAAAGCGGGGGACCGCAAGGCCUCGCGCGAUUGGAGCGGCCGAUGUCGGAUUAGCUAGUUGGCGGGGGUAAAAGCCCACCAAGGCUACGAUCCGUAGCUGGUUUGAGAGAACGACCAGCCACACUGGGACUGAGACACGGCCCAGACUCCUACGGGAGGCAGCAGUGGGGAAUUUUGGACAAUGGGGCAACCCUGAUCCAGCCAUGCCGCGUGUGUGAAGAAGGCCU